CUCGGGAGUGCCAGAAUGCCAUCACAACGUUAUGAUCGCACAACAUUCUGGUCAACUGCAGAAGGGCUGGUGCCCAGCCUGAGCUCAAGGGCCUGGGUGUGCACAAGGCUCUCCGGAAGGUUCUGAAGCUGGAUUUUACUCAGCCAGAUUCAGGGACAUUUAGGUUGUUUAUAGGUUCUGGCUAUGACAAACAAUGCUGCUAUGAACAUGGUUGAACACGUGUCCUUGUGGUACAUAUUGAGCAUCCUUUGGAUAUAUACCCAAAAGUGGUAUUGCUG
Molecule: long non-coding RNA, 278 nt
Organism: Alexandromys fortis (reed vole)
Lineage: Eukaryota; Metazoa; Chordata; Mammalia; Rodentia; Cricetidae
Exons: 3
Source: RefSeq, a predicted model, not a curated record